CCACAGUGUUCAAUACUCAGACUUCCAGAUUACUGUGCAACAGAGACUCCUGUGUCACCCUAAGCACUGGUGUUGACAGAGAAGAGAAAAAUCGCAGAUGCCUGCCUCUCCUAAGCCCAGGGCACGCUGUGUGUUUCGAUUUCAUGCUGGGCUGGUUGAGCUUUAAUCUGGGAAAAUGGAAGGCCGAGUUUCUGGGUGCCCACUGCCAACUUUUGCAGCAAGAGUGAGCCUUGUUGAUCCUGCUGGCUCAGAUGUACUCCAUUUCCUGGUAAUUAAACAAGUGGAGAUCAAAGCUGACAAAUCUCCCAGUCUCUCAGAACAGGAGAUGAAGGUCCUGCCUCAGCCCGUGUCUUGCCUCAGCCCGUGAGUCUGUCUCAGCUGACGUCACUCUGCCAAUCAGCCCCAGUCCACAGAAGUAACAAGAAGUUGCAUCACACCACCAGAAGUUUUUUUGGUGCGUUUUUU
Long non-coding RNA from Mus caroli (Ryukyu mouse), 465 nucleotides. RefSeq lists it as uncharacterized. The record is from RefSeq and is a predicted model, not a curated record. NCBI's taxonomy places the organism in Eukaryota, Metazoa, Chordata, Mammalia, Rodentia, Muridae.